Molecule: ribosomal RNA, 464 nt
Filed under: uncultured bacterium
Lineage: Bacteria
Description: bacterial SSU rRNA
Rfam family: Bacterial small subunit ribosomal RNA
Source: RNAcentral
ACUCCUACGGGAGGCAGCAGUGAGGAAUAUUGGACAAUGGGCGCAAGCCUGAUCCAGCCAUGCCGCGUGCAGGAAGACUGCCCUAUGGGUUGUAAACUGCUUUUAUAUAGGAAGAAACAUUUCCACGUGUGGAAAUUUGACGGUACUAUAAGAAUAAGGACCGGCUAACUCCGUGCCAGCAGCCGCGGUAAUACGGAGGGUCCGAGCGUUAUCCGGAAUCAUUGGGUUUAAAGGGUCCGUAGGCGGGAAUCUCAGUCAGUGGUGAAAUCUUACAGCUCAACUGUAAAAUUGCCAUUGAUACUGGAUUUCUUGAAUUAGUGUGAAGUGAUUAGAAUGUGUAGUGUAGCGGUGAAAUGCAUAGAUAUUACACAGAAUACCAAUUGCGAAGGCAGAUCACUAACACUAUAUUGACGCUGAGGGACGAAAGCGUGGGGAGCGAACAGGAUUAGAUACCCCAGUAGUCC